UGGGGAAUUUUGGACAAUGGGGGCAACCCUGAUCCAGCCAUCCCGCGUGUGCGAUGAAGGCCUUCGGGUUGUAAAGCACUUUUGGCAGGGAAGAAACAGCCUGGGAUAAUACCCGGGCGACUGACGGUACCUGCAGAAUAAGCACCGGCUAACUACGUGCCAGCAGCCGCGGUAAUACGUAGGGUGCAAGCGUUAAUCGGAAUUACUGGGCGUAAAGCGUGCGCAAGGCCGGGUUCGGAAAGAAAGGUGUGAAAUCCCAGGGCUUAACUUGGAACUGCACUUUUAACUACCGAGCUAGAGUACGUCAGAGGGGGGUAGAAUUCCACGUGUAGCAGUGAAAUGCGUAGACGAUGUGGAGGAAUACCGAUGGCGAAGGCAGCCCCCCUGGGAUGAUACUGACGCUCAUGCACGAAAGCGUGGGGAGCAAACAGGAUUAGAUA
RNAcentral lists this ribosomal RNA (440 nucleotides) under uncultured bacterium. Its description in RNAcentral is "partial 16S ribosomal RNA". It matches the Rfam family "Bacterial small subunit ribosomal RNA", at positions 355 to 784 of the family's 1533-position model. The record is from RNAcentral.